Molecule: long non-coding RNA, 2929 nt
Filed under: Hordeum vulgare
Lineage: Eukaryota; Viridiplantae; Streptophyta; Magnoliopsida; Poales; Poaceae
Description: long non-coding RNA (HVUL_LNC013557)
Source: RNAcentral
CUGUUAUUAUCCUGAUGCGUUGAUUGAUAGCAGCUAACGCUUCCUCCUGGUCUGAGCAGGCGUUCUGGAUACCGAGGAAUUGGGCAUUGUGACAGCACUUUCCGCAAGUCGCAUGGUUCAAGGCUACUGCCAGGAAUAGCAGAGGAACUGAGGAGGUCAACCGAGUCCACUACCUCAACGCUGGACAGCGAAAGCUUUGUGCUGGAAAGCCUUGAGACAGAGCUGUUUGACAAUGUCCGUGCUUCGAUUCAGAGAACACUUGGAAAACCUGAUAAAGCUCCAGGCGUGGCUUUUGCUAGCUCAAAGACCCCUAGGGCAACAGCAAAGGCACCUCCUGUCACAGGUAGCAUGUUACAAACUCACAAGUUGAUGCGAAAAUGCUAAUUUCUUAUGUUGUAACUUCAGAAAGCACCGUCUGCUCUAUUUUUUAACUAAUGUGAUUGCCGUGUUGCUACUUUCCAGCGAGAAAUGGGGUUGAUCGGAUACCUCCUGUUUCCUGCAGUACUUGUUAAUGCUGCCUCAGAUAAGGCCUCCUGCUUCAACAAGCAAUGGGUCUGUUGGUGGUAGCAAGCAAAGGCCCAAGUCACCCUGAAAGAGCCUGCACCUGGAAGAGUGGUAUGUUACAUGCUUGUAAUUCCAGAAUAUCCAUGAACUUUCUGUAGUUAACUAGAGGUUUAGGAUUUGUGGGAUGCUUGCUACAUUCACCAGGAUGCUAUAAUUGUAGUGAACCAUUUCUUGCAUUUACCGAUAAUUAGCUUACUUGUGAAACCUUAUUGCGAAACUGCACAGAACUAAUUAAAAAAAGCUCCAGUUAGAUAAUUUUGUUAUCUUUUAGGGGGAACAAAGCUGGCCACUUGCUUGUAUAAGGGCAACGGAACGGCAGGUGGGACUUGACUGUUUAGUUGGUGCUACUGGCAUUGCUUGGUGGAAGGGCAUAUGUAAAAAAAUGUUUUCGCUUCUCCAACGUAUGGCGGAGGGCAUUUUGUAGAUAAGAUAUACCAGUAGCAAGUAAUUUGUGCUGUAGUCUUAGUGACGUGGCAUACGGUACGGGUGCCAACAGAAAGCGACCACAUCCGCAACGCAAGACCGCAACCGAGUUGCUUUUGCUGGCUGCCCCAAGCUUGGUCUCAAUUCUGGGAAAUACUUACUACGUAGCCGACUGGUCGUGCCUUAGAAACAAAGGCAGAGAAAGAGAUGAGCGUCACCUUAGCCGCGUGAGCAAAUCACACGGACGGAACCACAAAAUCACGGCAGCUACCGGCAGGCUUACGCCGCUGAUCCGGACCGGAGGCAACCACAACCUCACCUUGGGGCUGCCCCAACCGUGUGCACUCGAUUUAUAAGGUAUGAACAGGAUACAAAAUUAAAAUGUAGUUUGGAUUUGCCAGAUACCAAAAUUACACAAAAUCAUGAUUUAAAAACAUAAAUAAAAUAUAUACAAACAACAUAUCUCCCCUAAUAAUAAAGCACGGAACGCUUAUGUCGUCCGUCGUGGCAGUUUUGCAAAACUGUGAUAUUUUUGUCCCGUUGGAAUAUGAGAGCAUCACUUUAUUUUUGUUCAAUCACAGAAAAUGGAUCACGACUUUGAAUCAAUCAUUGUUGCUUGUAAUAUUAGUUGGAAACUAGAUAUAUGGAUUAGAGAAAUCCAGGUUAAGCAUUGAUCUAGAGAUUGGAUGUCCGAUCCACUAACUUAACUGUAAAACUGUGAUAUUUUUGUCCCGUUGCAACGCACGGGCACUUGUCCUAUCAAUACUAAUACUAAUAUUAAGUAAAACUAGUACAUUACAUACAUCCACCCGAUGUAGGAUUGAUCGAUGAGAUUCUUAUUUGACAGCAGCUAACGGCAGCAAAAAGAAAAACAGGGAACGAGAGCCCGUGAAAGAAAUAAAGCAUGCGCUUGCCUGGCGGACAUAGAUAAUCAAGCUGCCUUUCUUCAUGGAAUGUCUUGGCAAUUCGCUUCAACGCAGACAUCUAUGCACUCAGGGUCGUGUUUACCUAUCAAAUGAUGGCAGUGUACCUGGCAAUCAACAAUGCAGUUCCAGCACUCUUGGCUUGGGGACGGGUUGGCCUCGUCGCAUUCGGCCGCCGCCGGCUCGGCUAUGAGCAGCUGCCCGACGAAGAGGGCCAGCACAAACAUGGCUGCCAUCUUCGGCGAGGCGUAGGAGCUGGAACCCAUUGCAAUCGAUGGAUCGACUCGACCUAGAUAUGCAAUGCACUAUGUAUAUAUGCUUUUAAUCGAGGCUUGACAUGCGAUGAGAGUAGAGACGAGCCUCCUAUUUAUGGCCAUCUUGCUAGCUUAGGAUCUGAUCUUAAUCCAGAUCACCCAACUAAUCAAACUUACUUAUUGUGGUUAUGGAGGGAGUGGUGAGAUUAUUGACCAACUGUAGCAUAAUACUAUAGUACAAGCAUCUCAUAUGAAAUCCGAUUACUCAAGGAUCCUCUCGGUCCCCGACUUAUUCUGUCAACUCCCUUUACACAUUAGACUAGCAGCAUUUGUUGGUUAUGCGUGUUCCUCGUGCUCAGUUUAAAAUCGAGUGACAGGCUGUUGGCAAGUGGCCAUGAUUUGCACAUGCCUCAUGGAGUAGGAAGUAGGAACUACUCUCUCUGUCCUACAAUAAAUGACGUGUCGAUUUAGUAUAAAAUUUAUGUUAUUUAAUAUUGAACUUGCAAUGCAUAUUUUGAGAUGGAGGAAGUACUAUAUUAGCACGAUAAUGGAAUGGCGUGUUGCUGCGCCUCCAUAUUAAAGUAAGUAUUCAUAUAUGUUUUUUCAGAAAAGGAGGAUGCACAGCCGGCCUCUUCAUCUCGACGAUGCAUGCGGCCAUUUUAUUAAUUAUUCAUCAAGACCUUUACAAAGUAAUACAUCAUGUCGCUACAUCUAUCCCAUUGAUAAAGGGGUGUCAAAUGUCCAGGCCAAAUACCAAACAGACAU